GUGGAUGUGAAAUGAUUUUUAGAAUUCUUAGUGGUCCUCUUCUUUAGGAGACCAUUCCUAGGGAAUAAUACAAGAAGAUUUAAGUAUCAUAAAACUUUGGAAUGGACAAACUCAGAAUGGUGCUACAUGAAAACUCUGGAUCUACUGAAUUUAGAAGAUGUUCUGCCCACUUAAGUCCCUUCACUAUUGCUGUGGUCUCAGUUCUCAGUGCCUGUUUGGUCACCCGUUCUCUUGGAGGAACAGACAAGGAGCUGAGGCUAACGGCUGGUGAAAACAAGUGUUCUGGGAGAGUGGAGGUGAAAGUCCAGGAGGAGUGGGGAACUGUGUGUAAUAAUGGCUGGGACUUGUCCGCAGUCUCCGUUGUUUGUAGGCAGCUGGGAUGUCCAACUGUUAUCAAAGCCACUGGAUGGGCUAAUUCCAGUGCAGGCUCUGGACGCAUUUGGAUGGAUCAUGUUUCUUGUCGAGGGAAUGAAUCAGCUCUCUGGGAUUGCAAACAUGAUGGGUGGGGAAAGCAUAACUGUACUCACCAACAGGAUGUUGGAAUCACCUGCUCAGAUGGAUCUGAUUUGGAGAUGAGGCUGAUGAAUGGAGGAAACCGGUGCUCAGGAAGAAUAGAGGUCAAAUUCCAAGGACAGUGGGGAACUGUGUGUGACGAUAACUUCAACAUAGAUCAUGCUUCUGUGGUUUGUAAACAACUUGAAUGUGGAAGUGCUGUCAGUUUCUCUGGUUCAGCUAAUUUUGGAGAAGGUUCUGGACCAAUCUGGUUUGAUGAUCUUGUAUGCAAUGGAAAUGAGUCAGCUCUCUGGAACUGCAAACAUGAAGGAUGGGGAAAGCAUAAUUGCGAUCAUGCUGAGGAUGCUGGAGUGAUUUGCUUAGAGGGAGCAGACCUGAGCCUGAGACUGGUAGAUGGAGUCACUGAAUGUUCAGGAAGAUUAGAAGUGAAAUUCCAAGGAGAAUGGGGGACAGUGUGUGACGAUGGCUGGGAUAGUAACGAUGCCGCUGUGGCAUGUAAGCAACUGGGAUGUCCAACUGCCGUCACUGCCAUUGGUCGAGUCAACGCCAGUGAAGGAAUUGGACACAUUUGGCUUGACAGUGUUUCCUGCCAUGGACAUGAGUCUGCUCUCUGGCAAUGUAAACACCAAGAAUGGGGAAAGCAUUAUUGCAAUCAUAAUGAAGAUGCUGGUGUGACGUGUUCUGAUGGAUCAGAUCUGGGACUGAGACUUAAAGGUGGAGGCAGCCACUGUGCUGGGACAGUGGAGGUGGAAAUUCAGAAAUUGAUAGGGAAAGUGUGUGACAGAGGCUGGGGACUGAAAGAAGCUGAUGUGGUUUGCAGGCAGCUGGGAUGUGGAUCUGCGCUCAAAACAUCCUAUCAAGCUUAUUCCAAAAUUAAGGCAACAAACACAUGGCUGUUUUUAAGCAGCUGUAAUGGAAAUGAAACUUCUCUUUGGGACUGCAAGAAUUGGCAAUGGGGUGGACUUAGUUGUGAUCACUAUGAUGAAGCCAAAGUUACCUGCUCAGCCCACAGGGAACCCAAACUAGUCGGAGGGGACAUUCCCUGCUCUGGUCGUGUUGAAGUGAAACAUGGCGACACCUGGGGCACCGUCUGUGAUUCUGACUUCUCUCUGGAAGCGGCCAGUGUGCUAUGCAGGGAAUUACAAUGCGGCACAGUCGUCUCUAUCCUGGGGGGAGCUCACUUUGGAGAAGGAAAUGGACAGAUCUGGGCUGAAGAAUUCCAGUGUGAGGGGCACGAGUCCCAUCUUUCACUCUGCCCAGUAGCACCCCGCCCAGACGGGACUUGUAGUCACAGCAGGGAUGUUGGAGUAGUCUGCUCAAGAUACACAGAAGUUCGCUUGGUUAAUGGCCAGUCCCCAUGUGAAGGAAGAGUGGAGCUCAAGAUUCUUGGGACCUGGGGAUCUCUCUGCAACUCACACUGGGACAUGGAAGAUGCUCACGUUUUUUGCCAGCAGCUUAAAUGUGGAGUUGCCCUUUCUGCCCCAAGAGGAGCACCUUUUGGGAAAGGAAGUGGGCAGGUCUGGAGGCACAUGUUUCACUGCACUGGGACUGAGCGUCACAUGGGAGAUUGUCCCAUGACUGCUCUGGGUGCAUCGCUAUGUCCUUUGGGGCAAGUGGCCUCUGUAAUCUGCUCAGGAAACCAGAGUCAGACGUUACCCCCGUGCAAUUCAUCAUCCUCGGACCCAACAAGCUCUAUUUUUUCAGAAGAAAGUGGUGUUCCCUGCAUAGGGAGUGGUCAACUUCGCCUGGUAAAUGGAGGCGGGCGUUGUGCUGGCAGAAUAGAGAUCUAUCAUGAGGGCUCCUGGGGCACCAUCUGUGAUGACAGCUGGGACCUGAAUGAUGCCCACGUGGUGUGCAAACAGCUGGGCUGUGGAGGGGCCAUUAAUGCCAUUGGUUCUGCUCAUUUUGGGGAAGGAACAGGGCCCAUCUGGCUGGAUGAGGUGAACUGUAAUGGAAAAGAAUCUCGUAUUUGGCAAUGCCAUUCCCAUGGCUGGGGGCGCCACAACUGCAGGCAUAAGGAGGAUGCAGGAGUUAUCUGCUCAGAGUUCAUGUCUCUGAGACUCAUCAGUGAAACCAGCAGAGAGACCUGUGCAGGACGCCUGGAAGUUUUUUACAAUGGAGCUUGGGGCAGCGUUGGCAAGAGUAACAUGUCUGCAGCCACGGUGGGAGUGGUAUGCAGGCAGCUGGGCUGUGCGGACAAAGGGAGCAUCAUCCCUGCAUCUUCAGACAAGACGAUGUCCAGGCACAUGUGGGUGGACAAUGUUCAGUGUCCUAAAGGGCCUGACACCUUAUGGCAGUGCCCAUCAUCUCCAUGGAAGAAGAGACUGGCCAGCCCCUCGGAGGAGACCUGGAUCACGUGUGCCAACAAAAUAAGACUUCAGGAAGGAACCACUAAUUGUUCUGGACGUGUGGAGGUCUGGCACGGAGGUUCCUGGGGCACAGUAUGUGAUGACUCCUGGGACCUUGACGAUGCUCAGGUGGUGUGUCGACAGCUGGGCUGUGGCUUAGCUUUGGAGGCAGGAAAAGAGGCGGCGUUUGGCCAGGGGACGGGGCCCAUAUGGCUCAAUGACGUGAAGUGCAAGGGGAAUGAGUCCUCCCUGUGGGACUGUCCUGCCCUAUCCUGGGGCCACAGUGACUGUGGGCACAAGGAGGACGCUUCUGUGAAGUGCUCAGAAAUUGCAAAGAAUGAAGGAUCACUAAAUGCCACAGGUCACUCAUCCGUUGUUGCACUUGGGAUCCUUGGGGUCAUUCUGUUCGCCUCUCUCACCGUACUCCUCUUGUGGAUUCAGAAGCGAAGACAGAGACAGCGGCUUACAGUUUCCUCGAGAGGAGAGAAUUCUGUCCACCAAAUUCAAUACCGGGAGAUGAAUUCUUGCCUGAAGGCAGAUGAUCUGGACCUACAGAAUUCCUCAGAAAAUUCCAAUGAGUAAGAUGGUUUUAAUGAUGCUGGACUAAUUUCUGUGUCUAAAUCUCUUCCUAUUUCUGGAUGAAAAAAGCAGACCACUCUGAGGUACAAUGAAAAGGAAAAUGGGAAUUAUAACUCAGUGAGUUCAGCAUUUAAGAUACCUUGAUGAAGACCUGGACUAUUGAAUGAGCAAGAAUCUACCUGUAUACUGAAGAUUACAGUACAGUCCUUUGUCUCCUAGUAUUCCAAAGACCACUGAUGAAUUUCUAAAAAUUAAAUUGGUGAAUGUGACCACUAAAAAUUGUAUGUAAGACUUUCAAGGGUAUUAAAAGGAAUACCCUUUUAAUAAAUAAAUAAAAAGGAAUAUUGCUGAUUUGAA
RNA transcript from Balaenoptera musculus (blue whale), 3797 nucleotides. It is a transcript of the gene named CD163 molecule, with no coding region annotated. Lineage: Eukaryota; Metazoa; Chordata; Mammalia; Artiodactyla; Balaenopteridae. The record is from RefSeq and is a predicted model, not a curated record. The transcript is spliced from 17 exons.